RNAcentral lists this ribosomal RNA (254 nucleotides) under uncultured bacterium. Its description in RNAcentral is "partial 16S ribosomal RNA". It matches the Rfam family "Bacterial small subunit ribosomal RNA", at positions 524 to 776 of the family's 1533-position model. The record is from RNAcentral.
UACAGAGGUCCCAAGCGUUGUUCGGAGUUACUGGGCGUAAAGGGUGUGUAGGCGGUUGUUUAAGUUUGGUGUGAAAUCUCCCGGCUCAACUGGGAGGGUGCGCCGAAUACUGAAUGACUUGGAGUGCGGGAGAGGUGAGUGGAAUUCCCGGUGUAGCGGUGAAAUGUGUAGAGAUCGGGAGGAACACCGGUGGCGAAGGCGGGUCUCUGGGCAUCUCCUGACGCUGAGGCGCGAAAGCGUGGGGAGCAAACGGG